This 442-nucleotide ribosomal RNA is filed under the name uncultured bacterium. Its description in RNAcentral is "partial 16S ribosomal RNA". It matches the Rfam family "Bacterial small subunit ribosomal RNA", at positions 338 to 795 of the family's 1533-position model. The record is from RNAcentral.
CCUACGGGUGGCAGCAGUAGGGAAUCUUUCACAAUGGGCGAAAGCCUGAUGCAGCAACGCCGCGUGCAGGAUGAAGGCCCUCGGGUUGUAAACCGCUUUUAUAAGCGAGGAAUAUGAUGGUAACUUAUGAAUAAGGAUCGGCUAACUACGUGCCAGCAGCCGCGGUCAUACGUAGGAUGCGAGCAUUAUCCGGAGUGACUGGGUGUAAAGAGUUGCGUAGGUGGCAUAAUAAGUAGCUAGGGAAAUCUGGUGGCUCAACCAUUCAGACUAUUAGCGAAACUGUUAAGCUCGAGAGCGUGAGGGGUAGCUGGAAUUCCUGGUGUAGGGGUGAAAUGCGUAGAUAUUAGGAGGAACACCGAUAGCGAAGGCAGGUUACUGGGACGGUACUGACGCUGAGGCACGAAAGCGUAGGGAGCAAACGGGAUUAGAUACCCCUGUAGUC